RNAcentral lists this transfer RNA (70 nucleotides) under Mulloidichthys vanicolensis (yellowfin goatfish). RNAcentral's name for it is "tRNA-Met". It matches the Rfam family "tRNA". Rfam says of the family: Transfer RNA (tRNA) molecules are approximately 80 nucleotides in length. Their secondary structure includes four short double-helical elements and three loops (D, anti-codon, and T loops). The record is from RNAcentral. Lineage: Eukaryota; Metazoa; Chordata; Actinopteri; Syngnathiformes; Mullidae.
AGUAAGGUAAGCUAAGUCAAGCUCUUGGGCCCAUGCCCCAAAAACGUGGGUUAAAAUCCCUCCCUUGCUA